Molecule: ribosomal RNA, 609 nt
Filed under: Pantoea stewartii
Lineage: Bacteria; Pseudomonadati; Pseudomonadota; Gammaproteobacteria; Enterobacterales; Erwiniaceae
Description: bacterial SSU rRNA
Rfam family: Bacterial small subunit ribosomal RNA
Source: RNAcentral
GCACAGAGGAGCUUGCUCCUCGGGUGACGAGUGGCGGACGGGUGAGUAAUGUCUGGGAAACUGCCCGAUGGAGGGGGAUAACUACUGGAAACGGUAGCUAAUACCGCAUAACGUCGCAAGACCAAAGUGGGGGACCUUCGGGCCUCACACCAUCGGAUGUGCCCAGAUGGGAUUAGCUUGUAGGCGGGGUAACGGCCCACCUAGGCGACGAUCCCUAGCUGGUCUGAGAGGAUGACCAGCCACACUGGAACUGAGACACGGUCCAGACUCCUACGGGAGGCAGCAGUGGGGAAUAUUGCACAAUGGGCGCAAGCCUGAUGCAGCCAUGCCGCGUGUAUGAAGAAGGCCUUCGGGUUGUAAAGUACUUUCAGCGGGGAGGAAGGUGUUGAGGUUAAUAACCUCAGCAAUUGACGUUACCCGCAGAAGAAGCACCGGCUAACUCCGUGCCAGCAGCCGCGGUAAUACGGAGGGUGCAAGCGUUAAUCGGAAUUACUGGGCGUANAGCGCACGCAGGCGGUCUGUUAAGUCAGAUGUGAAAUCCCCGGGCUUAACCUGGGAACUGCAUUUGAAACUGGCAGGCUUGAGUCUCGUANAGGGGGGUAGAAUUCC